CCCUCAUUCACCAGCACCUCUCUGUCCUGAGAUCCAUUACAGCCAGGGAAAAACAGAAGAUCAAUAAUCUCAUUGAGAAGACGUGAGCAAGAGAAUUUACAAGCCCAAGCUGGAGUCCACUUGGACUCUGCUGAUUCAAGCUUGAUACGGGAUGUGUGAGCGAUCUGCGAGUUGCUCUGUUCGGCCCUGCUUGUUAUAAAUGUGUGUCCAAGCCAGGAACACUCCAGCAUCAACCCUCCUUCAUACCAGUGAAAGUAUGACACGGUGAACUCCAGUUUCACCUUUCUGGACUUCAGGAAUCAAGAAGAGGAAGACAGAGCUGACUAUCUGCGCCUGGGGCACAUACAGAGUUGUCAUGAUCCCAGCAGCGGUGAUGUCUCUGUCUACCUACAGUGUCUGUCUUACAGAGUGACCUGGGUUUUGCUUCUGCCUGCCCCUCGCAGCAAAAAACACUGCAGUUCAUAGGCCUGUAUCUUGUUUUUAGGCCUCUCCUCAUGUGUUUUUUUUUAAGGCGAUGAAAAUAAGCUUGUGAGGGCUGACAGUGCCAAAUGACUCUGGCAUGACGUUAUCCUCCAGCAUUCCUUCUGCUCUCUCUGGAAGAGAGCUGACUGUUCUCUAACCUCUGCUGUCUUAAAGGGGCCUCGUGGCCGAGAUAAACCAGGACUGACAGCUGUGGACUGGGCAGGCAUCUGGUUUGUCAGUGCUGCUGUCUUGUUCAGCCAGACAGGUUCGGGAGGUGGUUUGCUUGUAACCCACUUCCCCGCCUGCUUUCUUGCAGUCUUUGCAGCUUGUUUUAAUGUUCUUUCUCUCUGCUUUCCCCCCAAGACUAAGGAGAAAUCGCAAAUGGUUUUUCUGCUUUGGCAUGAGCAUAUGUACAGAAGAACUCAAUUUGUUAGCAGAGCUACUUCAGUGAAGGCAGAGGGCUCGAGUAACUGGCCUCUGCACCAAACUGAACAAUUAGUGAGAAAAGGUCUUUUCAGUAAUGUCUUCUAAUACAUAGUUCACUGUAGUAGGUAUUUACACAGCACAUUAUGUUGCAUUCCACUGCUGUGCUUUGAUAUGGUCAGGGCAUUCCUUUGGGUUGCAGGUGUUUGGUCUCCUAGCCUGAUGGGUCAGAAGGGAAAAGACUGCCUGGGCAGGAGUAGGCUGAAGAGCCCUGGUGAUGAUCUAUUGAUCAGCCACUUUGGAAAUGGCUCUGCAGCUCAUGGUGGUCCAGUGUGACUUGAGAAGGGGGCAGUCGUGUAGUGUUCUAGACAUCUGACAUCCUCCUUGCUGGAAAAGCAGACUUCUAUCCUGGUGAUAUUUUAAAUACAUUUAUUGUCAUGAUUAGUCUUUGGCUAGUGUUUGUUCUCCUAAACCAUGAUUACACAAGGUGAUGUGCUCAUAAAUGUGUUCAUGUUUAUUCAUUAGGAACUGGGAAGUGGUAGAACUCCAAAGUAGACUGGUGUGGUCCGAAAUACCUUUUUGUGUGGUUUUAUUUACAGGGUUUUUUAGCUUUAGAUUAAUGUCUUGCACUGACUCACUUAAACUUGUGCAUUAAGCAGUCUUGAGAUACAAUUUUUUUAAUUGAACCUUUCAGACAUGUGCUAUGCUAACUGCUGCAAAUCAAAUACUGAUUAAACUAGACACUUUUAAUGCCUUCCUCAGCUCUGUAACACAAAGAUUCCCUCACAUGUGUUUCAGAACUCAAAUAGCCUUCAUAAGUGCCUGCAGGAUGGCUGCCCACAUUGAUCUGAACUUGUCAAGACAUUUCGUGUUUCCUUGCAAAGAGGUUUCAUGUGUGCAGUAAUGUUGCACCCAAAUCAUAAUCAUGUAUUAUAUGUUAAAAAUGACAAGCCAUAAUGCUGCCAAACCUUUCUGCUUCACCCUUUACUGUUUUCUGUGUUUUCGAGAGCACCUAGCUAAAAAAAAGUAACUCUGUUUUCUGUGAGCCGGAAGUGACAGGUAAGAUCCCGCCAAA
Long non-coding RNA from Lepisosteus oculatus (spotted gar), 1960 nucleotides. RefSeq lists it as uncharacterized. NCBI's taxonomy places the organism in Eukaryota, Metazoa, Chordata, Actinopteri, Semionotiformes, Lepisosteidae. The record is from RefSeq and is a predicted model, not a curated record.